UCCAUGCAGGGCGUUCGUCCGCUACAUGACCCCAAAUUCCAAAAACAGAAGUCUAAAGUUCGAGAGCCUCUCUCUCUAAAAACUAGAGAGAGAAAACAGAUCUGCAACCAACACCCCUCCCCCUCCUCUCUUGCCCUGAUCUUGAUCCCUCCGGAUCCAGAUCGUUGGCUCGAGGGUUGGGGGCGGCUCUUCUUCAUUUUGUUUUCUUCGGUUGUCUUCUUCAACGCUGUGCAGGAGCUUUGGGUCAGGCUGGGGACGCUUGGAUCCUGGUCGGUUCGUCCCGCUGGUGUGGUGCGGAGGUGAGGCGCGGUUGAGCGGUGGCUGUGGCGGUGGCGGAAAGGCCAGUUCCCGGAUCGGUUUCUACCGCGGUGGUUCCACGGCUGCCUUGGGAUCGGGUUGCAGUUGUCGAAUAGAUUCAAUCUAUGGUGGCGCGGUAAUGUGCUGCGGUGUGGCAUGACGCUGCGGUGGUGGAAUAGAUGGAAGCCAGUUCGGGUUCGACUAUGGUGGCUGCUCGGGCUGCGGUGCUUUGGGUUCGUUCGAAUGGUGGUGGCUGAAGAUAGUCGGGUCGGGUCGUGGUCAUGAGAUGGGCAUAAUCAAAGGGAAGUUGGAUCAUUUGAAAAGAUCUGUUGAGGCUUCAUGAAACGGCUCUUCUUCGUCAUCAUCAUACUCUUUUUGAUGCUUUGAGGAAUUACUGCUCUGUUAGAAUCGAAAGAAGAGGAGAAGAAUUCCGUUUCGAUAAAUACUGGGUUUAAGGUCUUUGUGGGUUUUGAAAGGCUGAACAUUGGAGGGGUUUUGUUUGGCCUGCAGUUUGGAAUGUGGUUAUCUGGGCGAUUGAUUGAUUGGGUUUCAAGGUACUAAAGCUUGGGCUACUUUUGAUUGCCAAACUUUCUUUCCAUUUUGCUGAUCAACCAAGAAGCUUCUCCCAUAACUGAAGUAAGAAACCAUCUUGAUAUGCUAAUGUUUCUGAACAAGAUAGUCUAUAAUAUUCGAGACCAAGUAAAGAUCACAUGCUCAACUUAAGUUGCUAGUAGCUGCUGGCAUGUUUAAAUGUUAAAGUUUAUAACAGGGCAGAGUUAUACCAAUAGUUGCUUCAAAUAUAGUUAUCUGUUCAGAUUCAUGGCUCGUGGUUAGUAUCACUUGUUCAUAAUGAGAAUGUACGUUUAACUAGGAAUUAGAUAAGAUUAGAAUGUACGUUUAACUAGGAAUUAGUUACAAGAAGUGCUUGUAGUCAAGUAUAUUGUAACGAGUAAUAGAUACAAUGACGUUUUGGGAUUGUAAAGAUUAUUUGUAUGUAAAUGUCUUCUUUUUGUUUCAA
Long non-coding RNA from Rosa rugosa (rugosa rose), 1315 nucleotides. RefSeq lists it as uncharacterized. The record is from RefSeq and is a predicted model, not a curated record. The transcript has 7 exons. NCBI's taxonomy places the organism in Eukaryota, Viridiplantae, Streptophyta, Magnoliopsida, Rosales, Rosaceae.